AAGACUAUAGACCUGCGGAGUACCUGCGGAAGGAUCAUUGACGUAUCUAUGAUGGGGUGCGGAGCGCCCUGCUCCGGUCGAACGGCCGUGCAGCGGGUGCGCCGCCCCCGUCCCACCUCACAAACCCACUGUGAACAUUCACCGGUGGAGGGGGCUCGGUCUGCGCCGUGUCCCCGAUGCCGAAUACCCAAACUCCAGUUGCAAAGAACGUCGUGCGGACUCGGUGCCGCCUAAAACAUG
Molecule: unclassified non-coding RNA, 240 nt
Filed under: soil metagenome
Description: partial contains 5.8S ribosomal RNA, internal transcribed spacer 2, and large subunit ribosomal RNA
Source: RNAcentral